GAGCACAGCCAGGAUCUGCGGCUUGCAACAGGGCCUGGAUGUCUUCUGCCGUAAGAACCAACUCACAGAGACCAUCCAGACACUGCUCCAAGAGCAGCCCACGGACCGGCUGCGCACGGAGGUGCGGCAUCUCGCCAUGGAUGCGAUAGCGGAACUGAGCUCAGUGCAGUCAGGGCUUGCGGACCAAGGGAGAGGCCUCUUAGAGACCUGCUUCAGGAGCGUCUUCUUCCUGCCUCCGAAAGAGGAGUUUUCAAGCCUGGAUACCUACUACUACGUCCA
Long non-coding RNA from Pezoporus flaviventris, 279 nucleotides. RefSeq lists it as uncharacterized. The transcript is spliced from 3 exons. Lineage: Eukaryota; Metazoa; Chordata; Aves; Psittaciformes; Psittacidae. The record is from RefSeq and is a predicted model, not a curated record.